RNAcentral lists this ribosomal RNA (484 nucleotides) under uncultured bacterium. RNAcentral's name for it is "partial 16S ribosomal RNA". It matches the Rfam family "Bacterial small subunit ribosomal RNA", at positions 29 to 507 of the family's 1533-position model. The record is from RNAcentral.
AUUGAACGCUGGCGGCAUGCUUUACACAUGCAAGUCGAACGGCAGCGCGGGCUUCGGCCUGGCGGCGAGUGGCAAACGGGUGAGUAAUGCAUCGGAACGUGCCCAGUAGUGGGGGAUAGCCCGGCGAAAGCCGGAUUAAUACCGCAUACGACCUGAGGGUGAAAGCGGGGGACCGAAAGGCCUCGCGCUAUUGGAGCGGCCGAUGUCGGAUUAGCUAGUUGGUGGGGUAAAGGCUUACCAAGGCGACGAUCCGUAGCUGGUCUGAGAGGACGACCAGCCACACUGGGACUGAGACACGGCCCAGACUCCUACGGGAGGCAGCAGUGGGGAAUUUUGGACAAUGGGGGCAACCCUGAUCCAGCCAUGCCGCGUGCGGGAAGAAGGCCUUCGGGUUGUAAACCGCUUUUGUUCGGGAAGAAAUCCUCUGGGCUAAUACCCCGGGGGGAUGACGGUACCGGAAGAAUAAGCACCGGCUAACUACGUG